Molecule: ribosomal RNA, 425 nt
Filed under: uncultured bacterium
Lineage: Bacteria
Description: partial 16S ribosomal RNA
Rfam family: Bacterial small subunit ribosomal RNA
Source: RNAcentral
GUGGGGAAUCUUAGACAAUGGGGGAAACCCUGAUCUAGCCAUGCCGCGUGAGCGAUGAAGGCCUUAGGGUUGUAAAGCUCUUUCAGCUGGGAAGAUAAUGACUGUACCAGCAGAAGAAGCCCCGGCUAACUCCGUGCCAGCAGCCGCGGUAAUACGGAGGGGGCUAGCGUUGUUCGGAAUUACUGGGCGUAAAGCGCACGUAGGCGGACCGGAAAGUCAGAGGUGAAAUCCCAGGGCUCAACCUUGGAACUGCCUUUGAAACUCCUGGUCUUGAGGUCGAGAGAGGUGAGUGGAAUUCCGAGUGUAGAGGUGAAAUUCGUAGAUAUUCGGAAGAACACCAGUGGCGAAGGCGACUCACUGGCCCGUUACUGACGCUGAGGCGCGAAAGCGUGGGGAGCAAACAGGAUUAGAUACCCCUGUAGUCC